This 253-nucleotide non-coding RNA is filed under the name uncultured bacterium. RNAcentral describes it as "partial 16S ribosomal RNA". It matches the Rfam family "Bacterial small subunit ribosomal RNA", at positions 524 to 776 of the family's 1533-position model. RNAcentral also lists the same sequence under 1 other name. The record is from RNAcentral.
UACGUAGGGUGCAAGCGUUAAUCGGAAUUACUGGGCGUAAAGCGUGCGCAGGCGGUGAUGUAAGACAGGUGUGAAAUCCCCGGGCUUAACCUGGGAACUGCAUUUGUGACUGCAUUGCUGGAGUGCGGCAGAGGGGGAUGGAAUUCCGCGUGUAGCAGUGAAAUGCGUAGAUAUGCGGAGGAACACCGAUGGCGAAGGCAAUCCCCUGGGCCUGCACUGACGCUCAUGCACGAAAGCGUGGGGAGCAAACAGG